Molecule: long non-coding RNA, 1788 nt
Filed under: Elaeis guineensis (African oil palm)
Lineage: Eukaryota; Viridiplantae; Streptophyta; Magnoliopsida; Arecales; Arecaceae
Description: long non-coding RNA (EGUI_LNC016842)
Source: RNAcentral
GGAUCAAGAAAGGUCCUUGGUUUCUUUAAGAAUUAAGAAAGAAAGAUAAAAAACGGAUUGAUUUCAAUCAAGAAUUGAGAAAAGAGGAUCAAGGGUUGAUCCUUAUCCAGGCUUGGUUCAAGCCUAUUCAGGCUUUGAGUUCAAGUGAGUUAUAUCAAGAGGAGCCUAUCCAGGUCAGCCCUGUGGAUACCCGUAGAGGCAAAACAUUUGUGCUGCUGAUUCAGAACCUGCUCAACCCUAGAUCUAGGGAUUGAAUUGGAUCAACCCCAGCUACAGGUUGAGACAAAAGAAAAGCGAUUCAGGUAUGCAACUUGAUCACAGGUUUUUAUUUAUUUCUACUAAAAUCAGUUUAUGUUAAUUUCAGCAUAUGAAUUAGAUCCAUAAGUUCUUUCAUAUGAUGAAUGCAUGCUCAGAUUAAAAUUGUUUUAAUCUGAUUUUUUGCUACAUUUUGGAUUUAGAAAACUUUUGAAAUCCACAUGCAUAGCAUCUAUAGAGAUUCCAACACUCUAUGCAUGGCUAGCAGUCUUCGUCUUCGGGGAAGGUAAAUUUUCAUUUUUAUUUUUAGAUCUUGUAUCUUUCUUUCAAGCAAGUAGAUAUUUGAAUAAUUGUAAUGUUCUUUUUUUUUCAUGAAUAAAGUGCAUUCUUUUUUUUUUCAAAUAUUAAUAUGAUAUGAGUCUUUGAAUAGUCUAUGACUACGUAGAGACAGAUCGUGAUCAAGCGAUAUGAUCUGUGCUCAGCGAGAUAGAUUAUGCUCGAGAAUUGAUCAUAGAUCUUUUGGCUUAAGAAAUGAAUGCUAGAUUUAUAAUUAAAAACAAUAAUUGAAAUCUCCAAAAUACGUUUUCUUCUAUUACUUUGAAUUUUCUAUUUUCAACCCUAACUUAAUUAGUUAUAAGUAAAAUUCCUUAAAACCUUAACUAACUCGAAUACAACUUAGCCCACGGUCCCCGUGGAUACGAUCCCAACUCAUUCUAUCUAUAUAGUUUGAGUUAGGUUUAUUUUUGACCGCCCACUACAGCGAUCAGCGGGCGCCAUCUUAGGUUUUGGCCUCACCGCCUCUCUCCAACGUUUGUUUGGGUUGAAAUUCAGGCUCGGGCCGGGCUUGGGCCAAAGAUAGGCCCGAGUCUGGCCUGAAAAAAAAUGGGCUUUGUAUUUAGGCCCAAGCCCAACCUGAAUUGUUUCGGACUGAACCAGAAGCCUGACCCGAAGCCGACCCAACCCGAUGGGCCUCGGACCGGCUCGAGCCCACUUCCAGCCAUAAAAGGAAUUCCAUUCAUUAAUGAGAUUCCAUCUUUUUAAAUAGAUGAGAAAUAAAUACAUAACGAAAGAAAUAAGAUCCCAUAUCUUUAAAUAGAUGAGAAACAAAUAUAUAAGGAAAGAAGUACAUACUUGGAAAGCAAGUACAUACCAUGUUUAGAGAUAUACUAAGUUUAGAGACAUACUCAAUAUAUCCUUCUUAUAUAAGGGCUUAUUAAAUAAGCAUAAGUCUAACAAUAAAAGUUCUGUUUUUUGAAAAGGUGGGGUGGACAGCUGUUAACUAUUACGAGUCUGCAACACAUCCUUUGUUUUGAUGGGCUUUGAUAGGGAGUUAGAGAUGAAUUGUGCUUCAUUGUUGGGGUGCAAUGUGGAAAAGUUUCCUUUAAAAUAUUAAGGAUCGCCUUGUGAUUAAACUUCAUAAAAAUGAUUGGAUACCAUGAUUGAUAAGAUGGAAAGGAGACUUGUUGGGUGGAAGGUUCAGACUUUCAAUUUGAGGUUGGCCGAUUUUGGUUAAUUCUAUACUAACAACACUGC